This 253-nucleotide ribosomal RNA is filed under the name Palleronia salina. RNAcentral's name for it is "partial 16S ribosomal RNA". It matches the Rfam family "Bacterial small subunit ribosomal RNA", at positions 524 to 776 of the family's 1533-position model. Lineage: Bacteria; Pseudomonadati; Pseudomonadota; Alphaproteobacteria; Rhodobacterales; Roseobacteraceae. The record is from RNAcentral. RNAcentral also lists the same sequence under 1 other name.
UACGGAGGGGACUAGCGUUGUUCGGAAUUACUGGGCGUAAAGCGCGCGUAGGCGGAUUAGUCAGUCAGAGGUGAAAUCCCAGGGCUCAACCCUGGAACUGCCUUUGAUACUGCUAGUCUUGAGUUCGAGAGAGGUGAGUGGAAUUCCGAGUGUAGAGGUGAAAUUCGUAGAUAUUCGGAGGAACACCAGUGGCGAAGGCGGCUCACUGGCUCGAUACUGACGCUGAGGUGCGAAAGCGUGGGGAGCAAACAGG